UCCAGCAAUUAUAGACGUUGGUGGGUGUCGGUCAGGAGAUUCUUUUUCGUUGUGUAAGCAGUAUAAAUAGACGCCAUUUCCACCAUUUCUUUCAUUCGAUCGCCAUCACUUGCUCUGCUUUCGCACUUGAUCACUCUUCUCUCGCUUAGACUCUGUGUUCUUUCUUGAUUCAUCAAUGGCUUCCGUCGAGGUCGAUGCAACCCCAGCUGCAGAGGUUUUCAGCAAAACAGAAGA
Nelumbo nucifera (sacred lotus) is the source of this 234-nucleotide long non-coding RNA. RefSeq lists it as uncharacterized. NCBI's taxonomy places the organism in Eukaryota, Viridiplantae, Streptophyta, Magnoliopsida, Proteales, Nelumbonaceae. The record is from RefSeq and is a predicted model, not a curated record.